UUGAACGCUGGCGGCAGGCCUAACACAUGCAAGUCGAGCGGAUGAAGGGAGCUUGCUCCUGGAUUCAGCGGCGGACGGGUGAGUAAUGCCUAGGAAUCUGCCUGGUAGUGGGGGAUAACGUCCGGAAACGGGCGCUAAUACCGCAUACGUCCUGAGGGAGAAAGUGGGGGAUCUUCGGACCUCACGCUAUCAGAUGAGCCUAGGUCGGAUUAGCUAGUUGGUGGGGUAAAGGCCUACCAAGGCGACGAUCCGUAACUGGUCUGAGAGGAUGAUCAGUCACACUGGAACUGAGACACGGUCCAGACUCCUACGGGAGGCAGCAGUGGGGAAUAUUGGACAAUGGGCGAAAGCCUGAUCCAGCCAUGCCGCGUGUGUGAAGAAGGUCUUCGGAUUGUAAAGCACUUUAAGUUGGGAGGAAGGGCAGUAAGUUAAUACCUUGCUGGUUUGACGUUACCAACAGAAUAAGCACCGGCUAACUUCGUG
RNAcentral lists this ribosomal RNA (483 nucleotides) under uncultured bacterium. Its description in RNAcentral is "partial 16S ribosomal RNA". It matches the Rfam family "Bacterial small subunit ribosomal RNA", at positions 30 to 507 of the family's 1533-position model. The record is from RNAcentral.